GACGAACGCUGGCGGCGUGCUUAACACAUGCAAGUCGAACGGAAAGGCCCUGCUUGUGUGGGGUGCUCGAGUGGCGAACGGGUGAGUAACACGUGAGUAACCUGCCCUUGACUUUGGGAUAACUUCAGGAAACUGGGGCUAAUGCCGGAUAGGAGCUCCUGCUGCAUGGUGGGGGUUGGAAAGUUUCGGCGGUUGGGGGUGGACUCGCGGCUUAUCAGCUUGUUGGUGGGGUAGUGGCUUACCAAGGCUUUGACGGGUAGCCGGCCUGAGAGGGUGACCGGCCACAUUGGGACUGAGAUACGGCCCAGACUCCUACGGGAGGCAGCAGUGGGGAAUAUUGCACAAUGGGCGGAAGCCUGAUGCAGCAACGCCGCGUUCGGGAUGACGGCCUUCGGGUUGUAAACCGCUUUAGCCUGUGACGAAGCGUGAGUGACGGUAAUGGGUAAAGAAGCACCGGCUAACUACGUG
Molecule: ribosomal RNA, 468 nt
Filed under: uncultured bacterium
Lineage: Bacteria
Description: partial 16S ribosomal RNA
Rfam family: Bacterial small subunit ribosomal RNA
Source: RNAcentral